AAACCAGCACCUCAAGUGGUCAGGAUGAUUAUUGGGCCUAAAGCAUCCGUAGCCGGCUCUGUAAGUUUUCGGUUAAAUCUGUACGCUUAACGUACAGGCUGCCGGGAAUACUGCAGAGCUAGGGAGUGGGAGAGGUAGACGGUACUUGGUAGGAAGGGGUAAAAUCCUUUGAUCUAUUGAUGACCACCUGUGGCGAAGGCGGUCUACCAGAACACGUCCGACGGUGAGGGAUGAAAGCUGGGGGAGCAAACCGGAUUAGAAACCCCGGUAGUCC
Molecule: ribosomal RNA, 274 nt
Filed under: uncultured bacterium
Lineage: Bacteria
Description: partial 16S ribosomal RNA
Rfam family: Archaeal small subunit ribosomal RNA
Source: RNAcentral